Molecule: ribosomal RNA, 369 nt
Filed under: uncultured bacterium
Lineage: Bacteria
Description: bacterial SSU rRNA
Rfam family: Bacterial small subunit ribosomal RNA
Source: RNAcentral
GUAGGGUGCGAGCGUUAAUCGGAAUUACUGGGCGUAAAGCGUGCGCAGGCGGUCAUGCAAGACAGAUGUGAAAUCCCCGGGCUCAACCUGGGAAUUGCAUUUGUGACUGCAUGGCUGGAGUGCGGCAGAGGGGGAUGGAAUUCCGCGUGUAGCAGUGAAAUGCGUAGAUAUGCGGAGGAACACCGAUGGCGAAGGCAAUCCCCUGGGCCUGCACUGACGCUCAUGCACGAAAGCGUGGGGAGCAAACAGGAUUAGAUACCCUGGUAGUCCACGCCCUAAACGAUGUCAACUGGUUGUUGGACGGCUUGCUGUUCAGUAACGAAGCUAACGCGUGAAGUUGACCGCCUGGGGAGUACGGCCGCAAGGUUG